RNAcentral lists this ribosomal RNA (504 nucleotides) under uncultured fungus. RNAcentral's name for it is "eukaryotic LSU rRNA". The stretch from base 176 to 329 matches the Rfam family "5.8S ribosomal RNA". The record is from RNAcentral. Lineage: Eukaryota; Fungi.
AACCCAUGUGAACUUACCACUGUUGCCUCGGCAGAUGUUGCUGGGCGAACCUACCCUGUAGCGAGCUACCCUGUAGCGACCUACCCGGGAACGGCUUACCCUGUAGCGCCUGCCGGUGGACUACUAAACUCUUGUUAUUUUUAAGUAAUCUGAGCGUCUUAUUUUAAUAAGUCAAAACUUUCAACAACGGAUCUCUUGGUUCUGGCAUCGAUGAAGAACGCAGCGAAAUGCGAUAAGUAAUGUGAAUUGCAGAAUUCAGUGAAUCAUCGAAUCUUUGAACGCACAUUGCGCCCCCUGGUAUUCCGGGGGGCAUGCCUGUUCGAGCGUCGUUUCACCCCUUAAGCCUCGCUUGGUAUUGGGAAACGCGGUCCCCCGCGUGCCUCAAAUCCUCCGGCUGGGUCUUCUGUCCCCUAAACGUUGUGGAAACUAUUCUCUAAAGGGAGUUCGGGAGGCUACCCCCCAAAACAACCCCAUUUCUAAGGUGGACCUCCGAUCAUGUAGGGA